RNAcentral lists this ribosomal RNA (420 nucleotides) under Ameerega bassleri (pleasing poison frog). Its description in RNAcentral is "partial 12S ribosomal RNA". It matches the Rfam family "Microsporidia small subunit ribosomal RNA", at positions 758 to 1283 of the family's 1311-position model. Lineage: Eukaryota; Metazoa; Chordata; Amphibia; Anura; Dendrobatidae. The record is from RNAcentral.
UACGAGCUAAGCUUAAAACCCAAAGGACUUGACGGUACCCCAUAUCCCCCUAGAGGAGCCUGUCCUAUAAUCGAUAACCCCCGUUUAACCUCACCAUUUUUUGCCAGUCAGCCUGUAUACCUCCGUCGUCAGCUUACCACGUGAGCGUCAGUGAGCCUAAUGUUUCUCCAACUACACGUCAGGUCAAGGUGCAACAUAUAAAAUGGGAAGAGAUGGGCUACACUUUCUACCAUAGAAUAAACGAAAGACUAAAUGAAACCUAGUCAGAAGGCGGAUUUAGCAGUAAAAUGAAACUAGAGCGUUCACUUAAAUGCGGCACUGGGGUGUGUACACACCGCCCGUCACCCUCCUCAAACUCUGCAUAAAAGUUUUUAACACCUUCCAAGAGACUCAGAAGAGGCAAGUCCGUAACACGGUAAG